UGGAAGUGGAGAUGAGGUCAAGUGGUAGAGCUCCAGCCUCGAGUGAAGAAGUUGAGCAAAAGCAUGAGCUCCAAAACUGGUUCAAAAAAAAAAAAGUUCUAAGCAUGCAGUGCCCUUGUUAUACAGUAGGCUGAGAAUGGGGGGUGGGGAAUUCAGCCAGCUUUGGGGGGCAGGGGUGGACAACCUAAGAGGUCACCACACUCUGGCCUGAAUGGGCCAAGUCUAAGGCUGCUUGACUAGGAAGUGGGGAAGAGCUUGCUAAGGUUGCUUGGGGGUCUAGGGUUGUAAGUGAGAACAAUGUGCACUUCCUUGGGUGAGAACAUAAAAAGGCCUGAGGGCAGCUUGCCUGGCUUAUUAUUCAGGGAAGGAAAUGUUUUAAUGAGGUUGUGCCUUCCAAGUGAGGCAUCCAUGGCGGAAAGUCCAGGGGCUAAGGCCAUGAUGUCCUUUUCUUGGGUAGCUGUAAACUUCUAGACAGAAGUGUGGUCAUAGGGGUGGUAACAGCCUCUAGACAGGCUGUAGCUACCCUACUUUUGUGUUCUCAGAGGGUGACUGGUGGAAGUAGGCCAGCGGCUGGCUGCAGUGGCUCCAGGCAGUGUUUGCUAGCAGGCAAUACUUGUCUGUCCUGUCCCUGCCUUCACUCUGUCUGCCUGGGUAACUAGGACUUCUACCUCAACCGUGCGACCUAUGCAAGGACGGUGUGGACCAACGCCUGCUGCCUGGUGCUGCCAGCUUGCUGGGCUCCACCCGGAGGGCGGAGACAGGAGAGGACGGGAGCUCCACUGUGAAUCGGUGGCACCCGCAGGAGGUGCUGGGGCUGGUCCAGUUUGUACUGUCGAUAGUUUUAGAUAAAGUAUUUAUCAUUUUUUUAAAAGUAUAAACAAUUCUGACUUAUUUUAUUCCAUCUAAGUCGUUAAAGGCAACCUAUUGAGAAAUGUCUAUAUAAGAGAGAAUCUAUAUAAAGACUCGAACUUGCAGGGCUGGCCCACCAGCGGAGACGCCGACUGCCUGCCUGCUCCGGUGCUAUCUCACCACCAGGCCCGCACCAGCCUCCACCUUGGUGCUGCCCUGGACAUUGACCAACGCCAAAACCAGUUCUCAGAAGCGCCGGCUGCUUGUUAACUGUACCAAAGGCAUGCCCAACUCUGGGGUUUUUUCAUAGGGUCCUUCAGAGGAUGCCAGAGCUUACCUUCAGACCUCCCCAUCCUCCCACCCUUACCCCUCUGUCAACCUUGCCCCGUCACUGUGAAUGCUCCAGCUGGUAACUGGCUAGCUAGGGCUGUGCCUUUGGCAUAUGAGCAGGGCUGGCAGGUGCUGGGGUGGACUGGGACCUUGGUUUGGUGCAGCAGGCAGCAUUUCCAGCUAUUCUGAGUGGUGCUGCACACAUGGCUUUGUACUUGAUUCCUGGAGGCUGGUUUGGCUUGUUUGACAAGUGCAUUUACUUUUGUAUUCCUUUGCUUUUUCUGACUUGUGGCAAGCUGGCUGGGUGACAUGGAGCAGGCCCGCCGUGGGUUCCUUGGUGUUUUGUGUAUAGGAGAGAGUCACACUGAUGGGUGACAGUAUUUUAUAGAGAUGUGAUGAAAAUUUAUAAAUUUCAUAGACUUGACUGCAUUUAUUUUUAGAUUGUAUAAUGCACAAUGAACUUAAAAAUGAAAGUGAAGGGGGAAAAUUAUUUAUUUGAAGGCACAAAAAUGGUUACCUGCCCUGGGGCUGGGGACCCUGCAGGAAACAUGGCCCACUGUGUCCUCUGGUCAGCUCCAGCUUGCCACUGCUCCUCUAGCUGCUGUGGAUGCUCCUAGCUAGGCAUCCUCAACCCCCAAAAUUGGCAUCUUUAGCCUGGGGGCAGAUGUGUUAGAUGUAGCCACAGACUGGCCAGGGCACAGCAAGAGCAGGACUUCCUGGGCUUGCUUAUAAGCCUACCCUGGUUUUGACCUAGAUCUGACUCAGAAGCCUGAGCCUCGGCUUCUAGUUGGGAAGGGAGGGCCUAAAAGCAUCAGGCCUAUCUCUGCACUCAGCCCCAGGCAGGGGGUCCCCUUAAGGAAUCCUGUGUAUCAGGUCUAACCCACCCUGACUGGAGCCCCGAAGAUGGUGCUGGUGACUCCUCCCCUUCUCCUCCUCAUUCAGUGUUGGUGCUCUUCUGCUGGGCCUAUAGGUGCUGUGCCUCAUUCCCUUGGACCCUGGGGGUGGAGUGGGGAGAAGGGCCCUCUAGGACACUUCAGGGUGAUAGUAGCAAAGCUGGCACAUAAUCCCUGAUUUGGAAGAAAACACUCUUUUAACACUUGCGUGUUCUUGCCUGCCUGCCCACCCAGGCGGCCACAGCUUGGUGCACUUGGGCCAUGCUACUGCAUGGAUUCCUGCUGACAGGCCAUAUUUAAUAAAUAUCUGUCCUGUGACCUGAUCUACAUACCUGAGUGCUGGGAGACAAAAGCGUUGUUUGGGGCGUGUGCCCAACACAGUGCUGGGUGGCAGAGUACCCAGCACCCAGCAUGAAUACAUAUCCCUACUUUGAGCCACCAGAGGGACAGACACUGGCUCUGGCUCCAACAGGCCCCUUGCUCCCUGCACAGAUACCCACUGACUUAAGUGUUUUCCUGCAACUGGGUGUGGGACAGGUGACAUUGUGUCGGAGCCUGAUGUCAUUUUGGUGGUCCAGGCCAUUUGGAUUGAGGGCAUGCUGCUGUGGACCUAGUCUCCCUGUGGCUCUUGCCCAGGAACUGACCAAUAAACUGUAGAGAUUAGGACAAUAUAUCCCCACACACAGAUCUGGGAGGUACCCUGCUAACUAGCAGGAACUGGCUCUCAUGUCUUUAUGCUAUACCACUGGUAGAGACUAAAACUCCCUCAUUCCUCUGUUCCUCCCACCCCACCCUCUACUCCAUUUAUAAGUCCAGUACCACACAGCAUUCCUCCCUCUGGGCCUUCAUCUCUAACUUGGCACAGCUCUGCUUCUUCCUGUAGUGAGCUCUGUACUUAACGGGUGUCCCACUGCAUUGUUUUUGCCUCUAGGCACUGUAAUAAAAUCAAUCUUCACUUGAA
Dipodomys ordii (Ord's kangaroo rat) is the source of this 3033-nucleotide long non-coding RNA. RefSeq lists it as uncharacterized. Lineage: Eukaryota; Metazoa; Chordata; Mammalia; Rodentia; Heteromyidae. The transcript is spliced from 2 exons. The record is from RefSeq and is a predicted model, not a curated record.